This 8436-nucleotide long non-coding RNA is filed under the name Nicotiana tabacum (common tobacco). RNAcentral describes it as "long non-coding RNA (NTAB_LNC006969)". The record is from RNAcentral. Lineage: Eukaryota; Viridiplantae; Streptophyta; Magnoliopsida; Solanales; Solanaceae.
AUCAACAUUUCAACCAUAAAAUUAUUAGGGCAAACUUCAAAUUGUAUCGUGAAAAAAAAAUCACAAAUGUAGAAGACGAAGAAUAGAAUGUCCUAAAGUGCUGGACGUUUUCUAUGGAUUGGGCAAAACAUUUUAGCAGAAAAGCCGUGGAGGUUUAUUUUAAAUCUGUCACAACACAAGCAGCGAAAAAACAAUUGACUAUAGGAAUUGAGAAGCAACAAAAAACAACAUUUUGAUCUCUUUGUCCCCAAAUCAACGUGAUAAAAUGGUGCAGCCAAGAAAAAAAUAAAUUUCAAGGUGAACAAAAAAAUGCCACAAAAAUCAGGUUCUAUUUCUUCUCUACUUAUUUAUCUUCCUUUACCCUUUCUGAUGUUGAGAAACUUAUUUUCAUAAAUGUUUAGGUAAAUGACAUAUCUUGUAAUAAACGUUAAAUACAUUUUGUUGUGUUUAGGAAUGGCAUUAGUUAAUGUUAUAGUUAACUUUGUUGUUUCAUUGCUACAAUGAGAUCCACUAAUAACUUAACAUAUUAUGGUUACAUGCAUAAAGAUUAUAUAUGUGGAAGUUUACUUUAACUUGUGGGAUGAUAUGAGACAAUUUUAUUUGAAAAAUCAUACAUGUAAAUCACGAGUGUAAUGACCCAAUCGGUCAUUUUGACUUUUAGAAUUCCGUUCCCAAAAAUAAAACUUUCCGUACGUGUUUUUAAUGAUUUAUGACUUGCGGGGAUGGUUGAUUCGGGAUUUGAAAGUGUUUGGGUUGAAAUCGGAACACUUGGUUCCUUAAGUUGGCUUUAAAAGACCAAGUUUGACUUCGGCCAACAUUUUGAGAAAAUGACCCCGAAAUAAAAUUUUGACGAUUCCAACAGCUUCGUAUGGUGAUUUUGGACUUAGGAGCGUGUUCGAAAUUUUAUUUGGAAGUCCGUAGUUAAAUCAGGCUUGAAAUGACUAAAAUAGGAAUUUAAGUUUGGAAGUUUGACCGGGGAGUUGACUUUUCGAUAUCGGAAUCGGAAUCUAGUUCUGAAAAUUUUCAUAGCUCAGUUAUAUCAUUUAUGACUUGUGUGUAAAAUUUGAGGUCAAUCGCACUUGAUUUGAUUGGUUUCGUCAUCGAAUAUAGAAGUUGGAAAUUUUAAGUUCCAUUAAGCUUGAAUUGGAGCAUAAUUCGUGGUUUUAGCGUCGUUUUAUGUGAUUUGAGGUUUCAAAUAAGUUCGUAUGAUAUUUUAGGACUUGUUGGUAUAUUUGGUUGAGGUUUUGAGGGCCUCGGGUGAGUUUCGGAUGGUUAACGGAUCAAAAGUUGGACUUAAAACAGCUGCUCCAAUUUUUCGUUUAUGCUCGAAAUUCUGGGCUGUGAUCGAGCCCAAGAUCGAGGCCUAAGAUCGAGGGUCAUGAUCGAAGGCCGGGCUCGAGAGUCAUGAUCGAAGGCCUAUGCUCGAGAGCCAUGAUCGAAGACAAAGGCUCGAGGGUCAUGAUUAAAGGCAGGGCUCGAGAGUCAUUAUCGAAGGUCCACACUCGAGAGCCAUGAUCGAAGCCAUGAUCGAGGCCGAGGAUCGAGGUCAUGAUCGAGGGCUGCCUAGGCAGAAUUAUAAAGGAGGGUAUUCGUCCCAUUCGCCAUUUUUAACAAAUUGGAGCUUUGAUCAGAGGUGAUUUUUGAUAGAUUUUCAAGGAAAAGACAUUGGGGUAAGUGAUUCUAAUUCGGAUUUGGUCAAUAUACCACGAAUAUAUCAUUGUUUUAACCAUUUAAUUAGUGUUUUGAGAUUGAAGUUUGGAAAUUUUUUAGAAAUCUCAUAGAAACGAAUUUUUGAGAUUUCGGUAUCGAUUCGGAGUCGGAUUUGAGUGAAACUAGUAUGGUUGGACUCGUAAUUGAAUGGGUUGUCGGAUUUCGUAACUUUCAUCGGAUUCCGAGAUGUGGACCCCACAUGCAAAUUUUUAAUUAAUUUCAGAAUUUUUAUUGAAAAUGUAGUAUUUUCUUAUGAAAUUGAUUCUAUAAUUUUUGAUGACUGUAUCAAAUUAUUUUUGGUUAGAUUCGAGCCAUUCAGAGUUGGAUAAUCGAGGAAAGGGUCUACUAGUAGAUUAAAUUAGAGCAAGACGAGGUAAGUCUCUUGUCUAAUCUUGUGAGGGGAAAAAUUACCCCAUAGAUAAUUAAAGUAAUAAUUAUUACUAAUUGUGGGGGGCUACAUACGCACGAGGUGAUGAGAGUCCGUGCAUAGCUACUAUUAAUGCUAAAGUUCGGGUAGUUUAGGACUCAAAGCGUGAAUUACUUGUGUAAAUUAUAUUCUUGUUUAAUUAAUAUUAUUUGAUAUAUAUAGUAUAUGAGAUUUCUAUCCUUUAAUAUUUUUAUCUAACAAUUCAUACACACACACACACAUAUUUAGAUAAAAAUAUUAAAGGAUGUGUGUGUGUGUGUGUGUGAAUUGUUAGAUAAAAAUAUUAAAGGAUAAAAAUCUCAUAUACUUGGUUUUCUGUUUAAAUUAAUUAAUUAUUGAGAGAAAUUAUUCUUCCUUCCGAAUUUAUCUAAUAAUAAAUAUACUCUCCUUCCGGAGGUACAUAAGAAAAUAACCUCAUUUCUUGUGGAGCGGGCUGCCUUGGCAGGAUAGAUACAUCUAUGGAUCGCGCCGCACUUCCCUUGGCAGUGUACACGACACUCUGGAUCGGGCCGUACGACCUCGGCAGAAAUCGUGCUAAUAAUAAUAAUUACGCGAUAAUUUGAUAGUUUAUUGAAGCUUGUGAAGCUAAUGGAUAAAUUGAAAAUCUUUAAAAUUUAAUUAAUUAAUUAUCUCUGCUUGUUAAGAAAUUAUUGUUAUCCCUGUAAAUGAGGUUAAUUAAUAUAUUAAGAAUUGUUAUAUUUGAAGGAAUUUAAUUAUUUCUGCUGGUUAAAGAAAAUCAUUGUAAAUUCUAUAAAUCAUGUUUAUCUAGAUAUUGCUAUUUUUAUUUUAUUUAUUAUUAUUGACUCUUAGUGAGUGUCAAAGUCGGCCAUCUCGUCUCUAUCACUUCGAGAUUAUGCUUGAUACUUACUGGGUACACGUUGUUUACGUACUCAUGCUACACUUGCUGUACUUUUUGUGUAGGAUCUGAGGCAAGUACUAGUGGAUGACCUAUCAUCGCACAUCCACGUUAUCCAGAGGCGUAGUGAUGAGCUGCCUUUCUGAGCCGUUCUGCAGCUACCGUUGCCUCUUCUUGCAUUUUUAUUCUGUCUAUUUUUAUUUCAGACAGUAUUUGGAGUUUUGUAUAAACUACUAGAUGCUCAUACACUUAUGACACCGGGUCUUCUCACACACAUUGGUAAAAUUUGAAAUUGUAUUAUUUUGUUGGAUUUAAGUUAAUCGGUAUCUUUUCUAAUUUCUUAAUAUUGCUAGUAAAAUAAUAAUAUUUCUUAGAAAAUUAUUCUGAAAAUAAUUGACAUAUGUUUUAAUUUAUUUGUUCGCUUGCCUAGAGGUAAUGUUGGGCGCAAUCACGAUCUAUAUGUGAAAUUGGGUCCUGACAACGAGAAUGAAUAAAACUUUCAUUUGGAUGUUAUUUGAGAUCAUGAGAAUAAAUAAUUAAACUUUGAUUGUUUAUUUUCAUAGGAUUAGAUAAUAUCCAAUUAUUUUAACCUCGACAAAAAAUGUCAUUAUACGACGAUUCACAUUAAUCAUUAUUAGAAACUUAUACUUAUUUUUCACGUAUAAUUAUUUACUCAAAGUUUCUCAUAAUAUUUAUAUUGUAUUAUUUUUGUAAAAGCGUGUAUUACAUAACUCGGCAUACACGAUACAAUGAUUCACAUUAAUUAUUAUCAGAAACUUGUAUUUAUUCUCUCACAUAUAACUAUUUACUCAAAGCUUUAUUUCAAAAAUAUUUAAAUUAUCUGUAUCUAUAUCUAUAUCUAUACUAUAUUAAAAGUACAAAGGCCCUUAGCAAAAUGUCGUUCGCCUUUUUUACCCUUUAAAAAAUAAAGUUCACACUAGAUAAAAUAAUUAUUUAAUUAUUUCUCUAAUAUUUAAGAAUAUCCAUUUAAUUAGUUCGCUAAUACUUAGGAAUAGUCAUUUAAUAUGUUCCUAAUAUUUAGGACGUAAAAACUAGCUAAAACUUUACUUAUUAGUGAUUUGUUUUCUUAUUUUGUUUAUGUAGAUUAUUCCCAAUCUAAUUAAGUUUCUCAAAUGCAUGUAAUUAAUAUUCCCUUUGUUUCAAAUUAGAUGGGGUAGUUUCCUUUUUAGUCUGUUCCAAAACAAAUGACACAUUUCUAAAUUUGAAAAUAAUUUAACUUUAAAUUUUUUUUUACUUUAUCCUUUUUACCCUUAGUGAGAAGCUUUUAUAACCACACAAAUGUUACGGCCCCAUAAAACUUUUACUCCUUAAACUUUUAAGAUCACAAAUUUUAAAAAUCUUCUUUGUUUUCUUAAACUCCGUACCGAAUCAAACUAUCUCAUCUAAAUUGAAACAAAUGGAGUAUUACGACUCAAGGACUCAAGAUAAUCCCUUUUUAUUUUGGCAUUUUACUUAAACAUAUGGAGGGAUUUAGAUUUUUACAUUAAUAAAGUGGUUAAAAAAAUUAAAUUUUAAAACUUAUUACAAUCAUAUGUUGGUCAAUACGUUUACCCGUUACUAAUAGAUUUUAUGCUGAAAAAAUUUAUUGUUUAAAUUUUAUUUAAUAUUUAAAAUUUUAAAAAUAACUAAAAUUCUCUAUGUGGUAUGUUAGAUCGAAUGUUUUAACCUUUGAACAUAGAAUUCUUGUUGGAUAAUAAUAUUGUUAUAGUUAAACAUUUAAACAUCGGGAAGAGCUAAUAUUAAGAAUUUGAAUAAAGAAAAAUUAUUUUCUUUAAUGUUGAGAAUGAAUAGUUAUUUUUUUGAACUAAUUUAACAAAAUAAGUUUUUGAAUCAAUUAAUUAGUGAGAAAUCCAAUUCAAUUAUUUUACAAACUCAUCAUAUAAGUAAUUGUAAAACUCGUAGUGCACAUAAAUUUAUUUUCUUAAGAAGAGCAUUGAUGAUAAAAGAAAGACAAAGAUAAAGCAAGUUAGUUACAAUAUAGCAUUGAGAGUAAGUUGGUAAAAAUACAAACUUAAAGUAAUAAAAAUAAAAUAGUAGAAGACAAAAUAUAUUCUAAAUAAGUUAUCAUUAAUUAUAUUUCUUCCUUUGUAUUUGUCCAACUAAUGACAGGUUUCUAUAUAUUUUUAUAUAUUAAGUUAUUUAUUAAAAAAAAUUUACUCAAUAUUGGUCAUUUUUAGACUUUAUAUGGAGCCAACCUUUCCAUUUCCAAAUGUCUAAGAGAUCACAAAAUUUAAUUUUGUAAUUGGCGUUGUGUUACAAAUCUUUGGAGAAUUAUAAUGAACUAUUGUUGUGUCACUUGUUUGUUUGGAGUAUUAAGUCAUACAAUAGCAAUAAUUUUCAUAAGAUAUUCGCAAAGAAGUCCUCAAAAAUCACAAUAAGGCAUCCGAGGAUUUCUACGGAGCAUGAUGUUUUUCAUAAUAAGCUAGCUAAACGAGAUCGGUAUUUAUUAUUUUCAAGAAAAUAUAAUUUUUUUAUUUUUUUAUUUCAUAACAUAAAUACAUCGUUUAAUAAUGUUUAUGUAAUUCAUAAAAAAAGCGCGUACCUGAAGACUAGUUAUAUUAAAAGCAUGAACGUCCUUAGCGAAAUAUCGUUCGUCUUUUUUACCCUUUAAAAAUAGCUUUUAGAUUGGACAAAGUUGUAAACGUAUAAUUUAAUUAAUUUACUACUAAUUUAAAAUCAACUAAAAUUUAGGUUAUUAAGUUUUUUCCCUAUUUGAACUAUGUACAAACUCCUAAUAUUUAGGGUAAUAUGUAAAAUUAACUAUAAUACCUUUCCUUUUAAUAUGUAAAUACCUUAACGUUGAAUAACGAUUUUGUUAUGAGAUUAAUUACAUCUCUAUGAUGAUGCCAACGUAAUGUUACAUUUGAAAUUGUAACGACCCAACCGGUUGUUUCGACUUUUAGAACCCCGUUCCCUUAUAUAAAACUCCUUAAAUAUGUUUUUAAUAAUUUAUGACUUGCGGGAAUGGUUGGUUCGGGAUUUGGAUGUGUUUGGGUUGAAAUUGAAACACUUAGUUCCUUAAGUUAACCUUAAAAGGCCAAGUUUGACUUCGGUCAAUAUUUUAAGAAAACGAUUCCGGAAUCGGGAUUUGACGGUUCCAAUAGGUUCGUAUGAUGAUUUUAGACUUGGGCGUAUGUCCGAAUCGGGUUUUGGAUAACCCGGAAGCGUUUUGACACUUAAUAGUAAAAAUCAACUAUUUGAAGGUUUAAAAUUCUUUAAAUUUGGUUUGGGGUAGGUUUUUGAGUAAUUGAAGUCCGUUUGGAAUUUUGAGUUUGGGAACAGUUUCAUAUAGUGAUUUAAGACUUGCACGCAAAUUUUCGUGUCAUUCCGAGUAGUUUAAGUGUAUUUCGGCGCAUUGGAAGUAAAUUGAAGAACUUGAAAUUCUUAAGUUUGAAUCAAUUUGGUUUGGGGUACGAUUCUUAGAUUUGAUGUUAUUUUACACAUUUCGUGAGUUCGAGCGAGUCAGUUUUAUAAUUUCAAACCUGUUGGUAUAUUCGGGCGGGGCCCCGGAGGAUCCGAGUGUUAACCGGACGAGGCUCGGACCAAUUUUGGAAAAUUGAGCAAGGACUGAAGCUCCCAGCUACUGUCAUAAUCGCACCUGCGCUUGGACAACUGCAGGUGCGAGCUCGCAGGUGCGAGCCACCAAUCGCAGGUGCGAACGAGAGAAGCCUGCCUAGCCAUCGCAGAUGCAAAGCAUUUGGCGCACAUGCGAACGCGCAGGUGCGAUGGCCUUGUGCGCAGAAGCGAAAAAAUGCACAGGUGCGAAGGGAUGGGCGCACCUGUGCUUGCGCAGAAGCGAGCAUUUCUUCCGCAGGUGCGGAAUCAGGAAAAGAAGGAAAAUGCGCACUUGCGAGGAAUUUUCGCAGGUGCGAAAGCCGCAUGUGCGGUACUCCUUCCGCAGGUGCGAAAAAACCUGUCUGGGCAGAACCUUAAAACGGAUGAAAACUCAGUCCAUUUCUUUCUAUUUUGCAUCCAUUGUUGGGAGAUUUCAGAGCUCUUUGUGAGGAGUUUUCAACUAACCACUUAGAGGAAAGUUAUUUCUACACCCUUUGAGUUAAAUACAUAGAUUAUAAGUAGAUUAUAACUAGUAAAUUUUAGAAAUCAAAGGCUUAGAUGAAAAAUCUAGAUUUUUAUAAAAAUGAGAUUUUAACCACGAAAAUAGUCAUGAAAUUGGGUAAAAAUUAUAUAUUUAAGUUUUUGAGAUUAUGGGUAACGUUUACAUCCGAAAAUUUUCAGAAUCCGAACACGUGGGCACGAGGUGAAUUUUAGGAAUUUUACCAUUUUGGAUAAGGUAAUUUAUGUAAUAGAUAGAUUUCGAAUCAUUUAGCAUAUAUUAAUUAUUUUGUGCAAUAUUUGGAUAGUUUCGAAUUUUUCGGCGUCGAAUUGAGAAUUCAACGCGACGUGGUAAUCGAAAAGUAAACUUUGAGACGAGGUAAGUCUCUUGUCUAAUCUUAUGAGGGGGAAAUUACCCUAUAGGGAUUAAAUUGAAUAAUUAUUGCUAAUUGUGGGGGCUACGUACGCACGAGGUGACGAUAGUCCGUGCGUAGCCACUAUUAAUGCUAAAGUCCGGGUAGUUUAGGACUCAAAGCAUGAAUUACUUGUGUAAAUUGUAUUCUUUGUUUAAUUAAUAUUAAUUGAUAUAUAUGAAUAUAUUGUGAAUUGUUAGAUAAAGAUAUUAAAGGAUGAAAAUCUCAUAUGCUUGAUUUUCUGUUUAAAUUAAUUAAUUGUUAAAAAAAAUUAUUCUUCCUCCUGAAUUUAUCCUAUAAUAAAUAUACUCUCUUUCCGGAGGUACAUAAGAAAUUGUCCUCCUUUCUUGUGGAGCGGGCCGAACGCCUCGGCAGGAUAGAUGCAUCUAUGGAUCGUGCCGCACGUCCCUCGGCAGUGUAUACGACACUCUGGAUCGGGUCGUACGUCCUCGGCAGAAAUCGUGCUUAAUAAUAAUAAUUACACGAUACCUUAAUAGUGUAUUUCAGUUUGCGAAGCUAAUUGAUAAAUUAAAAAUCUUUGAAAUUUAAUGGAUUAUUAUUCUUGCUUGUUAAGGACUUAUUGUUAUUCCUGUAAAUGAGACUAAUUGAUAAAUUAAAAAUUUAUUGAAAUUAAAUUGCAACUUGUAAAGCUAUUUGAUAAAUUGAAAGUUUUAUUGAAAUUGCAUGAUUUAAUUAAUAGAUUGGAAAUUGUUGCAUUUGAAGGAUUUUUAUUAUUUCUGCUAAUUGAAUAAAAUUAUUGUUAACUCUGUGAAUCAUGCUGAUUUGAAUAAUUAUAAUUUAUUCCAAUUAUUAUUAUUAACCCAUAGUGAGUGUCAAAGUCGGCUAUCUCGUCUCUACCUCUUCGAGAUUAGGCUUGAUACUUACUGGGUACAUGUUAUUUUCGUAUUCAUACUGCACUUGCUGCAUAUUUUAUUGUGUAGGUACAUAUAUGUAUA